UACGUAGGGGGCAAGCGUUAUCCGGAUUUACUGGGUGUAAAGGGAGCGUAGGUGGCAUGAUAAGUCAGAUGUGAAAGCCCAGGGCUUAACCCUGGGAUUGCAUUUGAAACUGUCAAGCUAGAGUGCAGGAGAGGUAAGUGGAACUCCUAGUGUAGCGGUGAAAUGCGUAGCUAUUAGGAGGAACACCAGUGGCGAAGGCGGCUUACUGGACUGUAACUGACACUGAGGCUCGAAAGCGUGGGGAGCAAACAGG
RNAcentral lists this ribosomal RNA (253 nucleotides) under uncultured bacterium. Its description in RNAcentral is "partial 16S ribosomal RNA". It matches the Rfam family "Bacterial small subunit ribosomal RNA", at positions 524 to 776 of the family's 1533-position model. The record is from RNAcentral.